GGGCGACUAGCUCAGCGGGAGAGCACUGCCUUCACACGGCAGGGGUCGCUGGUUCGAUCCCAGCGUCGCCCACCA
RNAcentral lists this transfer RNA (75 nucleotides) under Gammaproteobacteria bacterium. RNAcentral describes it as "tRNA-Val". It matches the Rfam family "tRNA". Rfam says of the family: Transfer RNA (tRNA) molecules are approximately 80 nucleotides in length. Their secondary structure includes four short double-helical elements and three loops (D, anti-codon, and T loops). The record is from RNAcentral. Lineage: Bacteria; Pseudomonadati; Pseudomonadota; Gammaproteobacteria.